CCAGACUCCUACGGGGGCAGCAGUGAGGAAUAUUGGUCAAUGGGCGGAAGCCUGAACCAGCCAAGUCGCGUGAGGGAUUAAGGCCCUAUGGGUCGUAAACCUCUUUUGUCAGGGAGCAAGGUCGUCCACGUGUGGGCGCAUGGAGAGUACCUGAAGAAAAAGCAUCGGCUAACUCCGUGCCAGCAGCCGCGGUAAUACGGAGGAUGCGAGCGUUAUCCGGAUUUAUUGGGUUUAAAGGGUGCGUAGGCGGACUGGAAAGUCAGCGGUAAAAUCGAGAGGCUCAACCUCUUUCCGCCGUUGAAACUGUCGGUCUUGAGUGGGCGAGAAGUAUGCGGAAUGCGUGGUGUAGCGGUGAAAUGCAUAGAUAUCACGCAGAACUCCGAUUGCGAAGGCAGCAUACCGGCGCCCGACUGACGCUGAGGCACGAAAGCGUGGGUAUCGAACAGGAUUAGAUACCCGCGUA
This 463-nucleotide ribosomal RNA is filed under the name uncultured bacterium. Its description in RNAcentral is "bacterial SSU rRNA". It matches the Rfam family "Bacterial small subunit ribosomal RNA", at positions 331 to 792 of the family's 1533-position model. The record is from RNAcentral.